CUCUCAUGUUGCAGAUGUCAAGUUCGGAUCCCACUUGGAUCAUUCCCGAUUGCGGACCUGGCGGCCCGUUACAGCGCAUGAACCCCACCGUGGGGAGCCACACUGAUUGAGCUCAGCAGCCAGGUCCCAUGCUGAGUGUCAUAAAUCAGGCCUAUUACCAGCUCCUCCUGGCAGAUGCCACCACCAAGAACUCGUCCACUUGGCUCUGGAGACCCUGCCACCUCUGCACAUGGUACUCCGGGGCUGGCAGGUCUGCCUGGGAAUCUGGGGGCUCCAUCUCACGUCCUGCCCGGGGCUUGCCCUGAAUCUUCUUCUGAAAAGGUGGGAGGUUUCGUAGCCCUGGCCAUGCAUCUGAGCCCUGCGGUUCUGCAGCCCGAGGCUCAAGGAGCAAAAUCAGGGCGUGCUCGGCCACUCCAGCCUGUCCCUGUGUGGUGGCCUUCCUUGUGCUUCAGUACACAGAAGAACCUGCAGGGGGCUUGUUAAAAAGACACAUUUCCCAGCCCCAACCCCACAGGAGAUGCCUUUUGCGCUAGGUCACUCAGCAUGUGACAACUUUCCUGGUGAUUCUGGGGCAGGUGGCUCCUGGGCCUUCCUGGGAGGAGCACUGCCUUAAAACAGACUCUGUCCUCAGAGUAAUGCCUGCGAAAUGAAUGCCUAUAAAUCUAAUCCUUCUUUUCCA
Suricata suricatta (meerkat) is the source of this 679-nucleotide long non-coding RNA. RefSeq lists it as uncharacterized. NCBI's taxonomy places the organism in Eukaryota, Metazoa, Chordata, Mammalia, Carnivora, Herpestidae. The record is from RefSeq and is a predicted model, not a curated record. The transcript is spliced from 2 exons.